Molecule: ribosomal RNA, 680 nt
Filed under: Lactiplantibacillus plantarum
Lineage: Bacteria; Bacillati; Bacillota; Bacilli; Lactobacillales; Lactobacillaceae
Description: bacterial SSU rRNA
Rfam family: Bacterial small subunit ribosomal RNA
Source: RNAcentral
GACGAACGCUGGCGGCGUGCCUAAUACAUGCAAGUCGAACGAACUCUGGUAUUGAUUGGUGCUUGCAUCAUGAUUUACAUUUGAGUGAGUGGCGAACUGGUGAGUAACACGUGGGAAACCUGCCCAGAAGCGGGGGAUAACACCUGGAAACAGAUGCUAAUACCGCAUAACAACUUGGACCGCAUGGUCCGAGUUUGAAAGAUGGCUUCGGCUAUCACUUUUGGAUGGUCCCGCGGCGUAUUAGCUAGAUGGUGGGUAACGGCUCACCAUGGCAAUGAUACGUAGCCGACCUGAGAGGGUAAUCGGCCACAUUGGGACUGAGACACGGCCCAAACUCCUACGGGAGGCAGCAGUAGGGAAUCUUCCACAAUGGACGAAAGUCUGAUGGAGCAACGCCGCGUGAGUGAAGAAGGGUUUCGGCUCGUAAAACUCUGUUGUUAAAGAAGAACAUAUCUGAGAGUAACUGUUCAGGUAUUGACGGUAUUUAACCAGAAAGCCACGGCUAACUACGUGCCAGCAGCCGCGGUAAUACGUAGGUGGCAAGCGUUGUCCGGAUUUAUUGGGCGUAAAGCGAGCGCAGGCGGUUUUUUAAGUCUGAUGUGAAAGCCUUCGGCUCAACCGAAGAAGUGCAUCGGAAACUGGGAAACUUGAGUGCAGAAGAGGACAGUGGAACUCCAUGU